GGAGGCAGAGGUGAGAAGGGAGGGCAUUCCAGACAUGGAGGACAAUUCGUGCAAAGUCCUGGAAUCAGAAGAUGGCAUGAAGUACACCAAGUCGGCCAGUCUGACAGGAGUGUAGAAUAUGUGACUACGAAUAACAGACUUAGAGCUUCAGGAAGGCUAUGCUGCCACUGCUGAUGCAUCUGAACCAGACCUGUGGGGGAGAAGAGUCCAAGGUCCAGAGAGCAGCCAGUCAAGGACCCUUGUGGAGAGACAGCAACCAAGACAUUGUGAAACCUCUGGACUGGCCUGAUUCUACACAUAAGAGGGAGACAUGGAAGCAGAUUAAGUUUUCUGGGACAAAGACUUGGAUCGAGGCUAAUUGGUUGGUGGGGAAAAGAGAAGGAAUUCCCUGGAAGGGAAAGGAUGGAGACCUGGACAUUUAUCUUUCCCGUUGGUUAGCCAAGUACUCCUCUGAAUAGUGCCCUGUGUUGGUCACGCAGGAGGAAAGAAAACGAAGGAGCAAACACAAGGUAUAUUUUCUGAUUCUCACCCUAAAAAGAGCUCCAAGGCCAAAAGAAGUGUCCAUUCUCAUCCCUUUCUGAUAGAGGAGACACUGGGCCUCUAAUGCUGAGUGUUGAGAGGAU
Molecule: non-coding RNA, 623 nt
Organism: Phascolarctos cinereus (koala)
Lineage: Eukaryota; Metazoa; Chordata; Mammalia; Diprotodontia; Phascolarctidae
Source: RefSeq, a predicted model, not a curated record